GACUGCAGUCAGACCAUUGGAGAGAAUCAUAAAGGGCAAGGGAAAGAAGGAAGGACAGGUCACAUGUUAAGAGAGGAAAAGGAGAUAAAGCCAGGAUGGCUUCAGCUACUGACUCCUUGUGGAAACAAAGCUUCUAUUAGCCCAUAGAAAAUGAGAAGUCUCCGAGGAUACUGAAAAAGGUUAUCAUGUGUUCAAGUCUUUAGACUCAAGGAUCAUAAAAGACUAUUGAGAGAUGAAAAGAAGAAGAAACCAUGAAAUGGAUGAUGUGGUCCCUAGGAGAUUCUGGAGCUGAAAGCAUGGUAUUCUUAAAGAGUCAUCAGAAUUUUGCUCCUGAGAAAGAGAAGAUCGUGAAUGAUAACAGAGAUGAUCUACAAACAAAAUCAAUACAAGAAUCAGCAGAGAAAUUCUCAUACCAGGAGAAAAUCUUUUCUUCAAAUAUCUCAGAUAAAAGUUUGAUAUCCAAGAUUUUAGAAGGGCAGAGGGAAUAGAAAACUGGCCUUGGAAUGAGAAAGACUGAGAUUCAAGCAUUGACCCUGAUAGGUAUCAGUUGUGAGACCUUAGUGUUCCAGACAACUAUGACUAUAAAUGGCAAAGAUGUUUUCUCAUCUAG
RNAcentral lists this long non-coding RNA (610 nucleotides) under Monodelphis domestica (gray short-tailed opossum). RNAcentral describes it as "lncRNA (ENSMODG00000045162.1)". The record is from RNAcentral. Lineage: Eukaryota; Metazoa; Chordata; Mammalia; Didelphimorphia; Didelphidae.